This is a long non-coding RNA of Macaca mulatta (Rhesus monkey), 1401 nucleotides long. Lineage: Eukaryota; Metazoa; Chordata; Mammalia; Primates; Cercopithecidae. The record is from Ensembl.
AUUAUAAAGGAGAACAGCAAGAGGUCCCCAGGAAACAUCCACAGAUGGCAUUGGAAAUAAGUCACCUUCUGAGAAGCAUGUCAUGUUCUGGGAGGGCUAAGGCAUCAAGUAAGGCCUAUGGGGUUGGAGGAUCCCUGGGCAGGUGGGGCAAUCCACAGCCUUGGGUUCUUCCCAUGGGAAUCGGGAGGUCUUGAGGCAGAGGCAGUGGUCCCACAGGAGGAGUCACAGAGCCACCAAGGGCUCUUCUGGCCCAGGGAGCAGUCAACACCAUGGACUGAACACGUGCUGGGCUCAAAGUCCUGGUCCAGACUGGGGCAUGUGGGGCCAGGAUGGAACUCGGAGUGGAAGACAGAGAGACAAGUGUGCUCAGAGGGCAGCCAUUUCUGGAAGUAGUGUGGUCCAGAGAUUUUGGCUGGGAAGGGCUUCCAGGGUUUCAUAUGUGUUGUGGAGCUGCUUCCUCUCCCCAGCCUCACCCUGCAGAAAUGCCAGUGAAUAUGUUGCCGCCAUCUUGGAGCUCAGUGCCCUCAUAGUGUAAUGGCAGCAGCAGAUCUGCCUGUGCAUGGACUUCCUGUACUACCUCAUUCCUGAGGAGCAAUGCUUCUGCAGGGCCUCUGACUUGGUGCACAACUUCAGACACCAUCAUCCUGGAGCAGUACUGCACCCUCUGGGGAGCCAUGGAAGAUGCUGGAUAAAGGAGUGACAGUCAGAUUCAUCUUAGAGAUGACUGUAGAAGGCUGCCUAGGAGUGAACAAGAGCCAGGAGACCAGGGAGGGAGCUUGUGGGGCAGGUCUGGAGAUGGCAAGGGAGGGAUCCUGCUUGGAUGAAAGGUCUUCAGGCACUGUCUCAGGUUACACUCAGGUGCCCUCAGAGCUAGUACAUUCAGAGUCUUGCCUCCACGAUGAAAAUGGGAAGGAGUUGUCAGACGAGGACAUAGAAAUGGAGGCUGGCAUAUUCAUGAAUGCCGGUGGUGGUCUCGGUGUGGGACUACUGUGGGAACAGGGGUCCUUCCAUUCAGGGAUGUGGUGGAUGGACCCUACAUCACUCCAUUCUGCCCUUCUUUUCCCUCCUCUCAUUCUCCCAAAAGCCUCAGUGCAUGAGUGCUGUCCAUCCUCUGGUGCUGAAGCAGCCAAGAGUCACAAGCCUGCCUGGCUGCCUCUGGGUAUGACAGCAGAGCCAGUGGCCUCUACUGGAUCUUGUACAACUCCACAAGACACCCAGACACCGGGAGUGCUGCCAGCACGUGGUGCAACAGUCCUGAGGGACCACAGUCCUGAAGACAUUGAAUGGCUGUGCUCAUUGCUGGAAGUGCUGUCAGGGCCCUUGCCGUUGACCCUCCAGGUCUCAUUCUUGCAGUGCAGGCAGGGCAUUCUGGAGGAAUCAUGCCCUUGGAAGAAGCCCUGA